UGCUAGUCGCCGGGCAGCGUUGAAGCCAUU
RNAcentral lists this non-coding RNA (30 nucleotides) under Rattus norvegicus (Norway rat). The record is from RNAcentral. Lineage: Eukaryota; Metazoa; Chordata; Mammalia; Rodentia; Muridae.